Molecule: RNase P RNA, 408 nt
Filed under: Ignavibacteria bacterium
Lineage: Bacteria; Pseudomonadati; Ignavibacteriota; Ignavibacteria
Description: RNase P RNA component class A
Rfam family: Bacterial RNase P class A
About the family: Ribonuclease P (RNase P) is a ubiquitous endoribonuclease, found in archaea, bacteria and eukarya as well as chloroplasts and mitochondria. Its best characterised activity is the generation of mature 5'-ends of tRNAs by cleaving the 5'-leader elements of precursor-tRNAs.
Source: RNAcentral
ACUGCAUAUCGUGCAAUCGCCCCGUUCUUUCAUUAAGAGCGGGGAGGAAAGUCCGAACUCCACAGGACGGAGCACCUCCUAACCGGAGGGUAUCCUGAAUGCAAGUUCAGGAUAACGGAAAGUGUAACAGAAAAAAUACCGUCCCAUCCCGUUAUAACGGGACGGGAUAAGGGUGAAAUGGCGAGGUAAGAGCUCACCAGACCGGUAGUAAUACCGGUGCUUGACAAACCCUGCUCGGAGCAAGACCAUGUAUGUCCCGAAAAGUGGUCCGCUUAUUUUUUUCCAACAAUGUUGGAGAAAAACGGGACGGGUAGGUCGCUUGAGAAUGCAUGCGAGUGCAUUCCCAGAUAGAUGAUUGCAAUCACGGUUACCGUGAUACAGAAUUCGGCUUACAGAUAUGCAGUUUUU